ACUCAAAGGAAUAGACGGGGACCCGCACAAGCGGCGGAGCGUGUUGCUUAAUUCGAAGCUACGCGAAGAACCUUACCUGGGUUUGACAUGUAGAGAAAAGCCAUAGAGAUAUGGUGUCCUUCGGGGUUCUACACAGGUGUUGCAUGGCUGUCGUCAGCUCGUGUCGUGAGAUGUUGGGUUAAGUCCCGCAACGAGCGCAACCCUUGUCCUAUGUUGCCAUCGGGUCAUGCCGGGAACUCGUAGGAGACUGCCGUGGUUAACACGGAGGAAGGUGGGGACGAUGUCAAGUCAUCAUGGCCCUUACGUCCAGGGCUGCAAACACGCUACAAUGGCUACUACAAAGGGUCGCUAUCUCGCGAGAGUGAGCUAAUCCCAUAAAAGUAGUCUCAAUUCGGAUUGAAGUCUGCAACUCGACUUCAUGAAGCUGGAGUCGCUAGUAAUCCCGGAUCAGCACGCCGGGGUGAAUACGUUCCCGGGUCUUGCACACACCGCCCGU
Molecule: ribosomal RNA, 496 nt
Filed under: uncultured bacterium
Lineage: Bacteria
Description: partial 16S ribosomal RNA
Rfam family: Bacterial small subunit ribosomal RNA
Source: RNAcentral